This is an unclassified non-coding RNA of Vicugna pacos (alpaca), 312 nucleotides long. Its record names the gene 7SK. It matches the Rfam family "7SK RNA". Rfam says of the family: 7SK was discovered as an abundant small nuclear RNA in the mid-70s but a possible function has only recently been suggested. The record is from Ensembl. Lineage: Eukaryota; Metazoa; Chordata; Mammalia; Artiodactyla; Camelidae.
UGUGUGUCAGAGAUCUGCAGUAAUACCCGUCACCCUGCCGACAUGUGAGGGGUCUAAGAAUACAGCAGGUUGGGUGAGUAUCUUGUUCUUCCCUCUCCGAAACUCUGUUUUCUCCUCCUUAAGGGGCAUCCUCUGUGGAAGUAAACUAAACCAGAUAAAGGGAGGACAUUUUCUGGACAAGGGUCUGCGCAUGGCUGUUACUCCUUUGCUAGAACAUUCAAAUUAGCCCUCAAGGCUCUUUGACAGAGGAAUAUACAGGCAGGCAAAAAUAUUAAUAGAUGGCUGUAGAAAUCCUCUAAUAAAGCUGUCUUU